Molecule: long non-coding RNA, 895 nt
Organism: Daucus carota subsp. sativus
Lineage: Eukaryota; Viridiplantae; Streptophyta; Magnoliopsida; Apiales; Apiaceae
Exons: 2
Source: RefSeq, a predicted model, not a curated record
UAUUGUUAAUAAGAUAUUGGUACGUAAAUAAUUAAGGCUAGUACGAGUCUAAAUUAUAUUGCUAGCAUAUUAAAUUUCGGUUAUGUAAAUCAGUUGGUAGAUGUAUAGUUUUGUUCAGAACCAGAGAUUAUAAAUAUUGCGGGUUAGCUAAAAUAAAUAUUUCGAUAUAAUUUUUUAACGCUCUAAAAUAUUUAGAAAAGUAUUGGAAUAAUUAUUCAAUUAAUUAUUCUAGUAUUUUUUUUUAUAAUCUCAAAAGAUAUAUAUUCUAAUAGGAAUCGUUAAGUGAGUCGGGACUGAAAUAUUGGUAAAUAAACGAAACAGGAGUAAUUAAAACGAGACGUAACUACGGUGCGAGAUAAUAAUUAAAUAAAAUAAUUUAAAUACAAAACCAUUAAACAAGCCGGUGGUUUUGAUUGCACACUGGAAUUAGAAAACUUGGUGCCCUGUUGUGUAGCGGCCAAGUAAUUAUCUAAUUAAGGUUAAUUAAAAAGAGUUAUUAGAGGCUAACUGUGAUUAAGUGGUAGUAUAAAAACCAACCCAAAAGAGUGGUUCACCAUUUUGGCUCAGUAAAGAAAGAAAUGGUACUAGUACAUACUCGUUAAGCAAGAGAAAAGGAUAAGACAAGUAAAGAGUGAGUAUGGCACAACUCAAGAGAAUCGCCCGGAAGCGGGUUUUGGCAAGUAAAAUGACAAGGCACAUCACAUGAGCUGAAGCUGCUAGGCAACGCUGUUUGGUGAUGCCAACUAUAGUUAUUAUAAUAGUCUGUUAUCAGACUCGCUAUUAUGUAAUAAACUUAGACUUGGUAGUAGUGUUGUAAACGAUCGACCCAGGACUUGUGGGGCAAGAGUUGGUUUGUAUAAAUAUUAAAAUGUAAUGCAAGUGUUGUUUUGAGCUA